This is a long non-coding RNA of Mesoplodon densirostris (Blainville's beaked whale), 648 nucleotides long. RefSeq lists it as uncharacterized. The transcript has 3 exons. NCBI's taxonomy places the organism in Eukaryota, Metazoa, Chordata, Mammalia, Artiodactyla, Ziphiidae. The record is from RefSeq and is a predicted model, not a curated record.
ACAGCUCUGUUUCUUGAGCACCCAGCCCAACGGUAUUGUGGAGAUGGAAUAACAAUCACCAUGAGCACAGGUCACUGCUGACAAAGGGACUUGCUUUCUCUCUAAACCAUUUGACUUUGUUGGUGCCCAGGGCAGGAUGCUCCAAAAUAUGCCUCAGUGGAAUAUUACUUUGAAUUAAAGUUACUGAAGAAAUGACUGAUGCAAGAGAGACACACUGACCUUCCUCUCUGUCUCCAUGAAAGCAGGAAAUUAAUAUCUCAUGUGAAUGGUGCCCUCCCUGUACCAGGAGGUAGAAAGACAUCAUUAGCACCAGAGAUAGGGAAUGCAGGGUCAAGAAGGCUGUAUAAACCUUGUUACUUCUUUAACUCAAGAAGGUUGGCAGGGACAUUUCUUCCUCCUCAACAGCUGACAAGACAACCAGGAGGCUGGCUAAACCCUGCUUCCCACCACAAGACUGCUGCAGCUGAGAGAUCCUAGGACACAUGACAAAGGCCAGCAGAAGCAAUGCCUCUUAUUCAAUACCUGAUUGCUUGUACAGUCAGCUUAACUUCUACUUGGAAAUACUGCUUUGGAAGAGAAAAUUAAGAAAAAAGCAUCAUUAAAAAAGAGACAAGGUUGGGCUUCCCUGGUGGCGCAGUGGUUGAGAGU